AGUAACCUGCCUUGGAGUGGGGAAUAACAGUUGGAAACAGCUGCUAAUACCGCAUAAUAUGUCUGUGUCGCAUGGCACUGGGCAUCAAAGAUUUAUCGCUCUGAGAUGGACUCGCGUCUGAUUAGCUAGUUGGCGGGGUAACGGCCCACCAAGGCGACGAUCAGUAGCCGGACUGAGAGGUUGGCCGGCCACAUUGGGACUGAGGCACGGCCCAGACUCCUACGGAAGGCAGCAG
This 235-nucleotide ribosomal RNA is filed under the name uncultured bacterium. Its description in RNAcentral is "partial 16S ribosomal RNA". It matches the Rfam family "Bacterial small subunit ribosomal RNA", at positions 120 to 354 of the family's 1533-position model. The record is from RNAcentral.